Long non-coding RNA from Tachysurus fulvidraco (yellow catfish), 617 nucleotides. RefSeq lists it as uncharacterized. The record is from RefSeq and is a predicted model, not a curated record. Lineage: Eukaryota; Metazoa; Chordata; Actinopteri; Siluriformes; Bagridae. The transcript is spliced from 2 exons.
CACACACACACACACACACUCACUCACUCUCACACACACUCACACACACACUCUCUCGCACUCUCACAAAUACUCACACACACACACCAACACACACACACACACACACACACAGAAAUGCUUGGUCUGUGCAUUUUUAUCUUUGAAGUGUGUGUGUGUGUGUGUGUGUGGUCACAAACACUAAACAUACAAACUAAAAUAGCACAGUGACAUGAGACACACACACACACACACACACACAAACACACACACACACAGAGCUCUGUUAAUUUUAACCAGUGUGUAGCUCAUUUAUUAAAGAGAAUAAUGAAGUGUGUGGGUAAUUAGUAACUAGAAAAGGUGGAACCUCUCCUUUAUAUCCCUCCAUUACUGAGAGAGAGCUGAGACACACACUCUCUCAUACACAUUCACUCACAAACACACACACACACACACAAACACACACACAGAGCUGAAGCACAGAGGUUGACAUGAGCAGACAACGGACAGAGCAGCAUCUGCUCCACUUCAGCCCUCUGCCUAGCUGCUUCCUCUGGAGGUAGUUUCUCAAUCUCCCUGAAGAUGGGUGGAGGGAAGUCUGAGUCUCCAUCCUCUGAGCUUUCUCCAUCCGUCCGCUC